AUGCCAAUGUUAAGUGUACAUGCAGUGCCUGUGCAUCAACAAUAAUGUGCAUAGUUCUGAUCUAACUUAUUCUAAUCAUAAUAUGGUUAGUUUCUACUAAAAUCAGAUGCUAUAUGCUUAAUAUGUAGCUCUGUUUGACAUUUUAUAUCGGGGGUCCUCGCUCCAUGUCUCUUUCGCCUAAUGGGUCCACGCCCUGAAAAACGUUGAAGACCCCUGCUUUAUAUGAUCAACAGAUUGAAUUUAGGCUUUUUAUUCCCAUAUAAAUAUUGAUCCGCGAAUAUAAACCGAACUUGCUUGACAUGAGUGAACAAACUUCUAGCAGAAGCUCAAAUGUGCUGAGUAACACGAGAAUGAAUGAAACGAAGGAACGUUACAUUUACUAUUAAUCUCUUUAUUUGUUUAUCACCUUGACUACGGUGUGCUUUAUGGGUUAUUAUCCACCUCUCCCUUUACAUUCAGGGUAAAUCUAGGAAAGGUUAUAUUUUUAUUUUGUAUUUGUUUGGGGGUUCGUUGUAAUUUCAAAUGAUAGAGGUUUGCAUGAAGUGCAGCUGAUCUUAUCUUUCUUCAAGAAAUUCAUUCAGGGGAAACAGAUUUCAAGUUUUGGAAGAUGCAAUGGGGAAACUCGAUUUUCUUUAGCAAUGACAGCAGCCACUCACUUGGCUAGGACUGCCAUUAUGUUACAUCGGUUUAAAAGAACUGUUAGAAAUGUUGAUCUCUGAUAAAGGUAGAUGGGUUUGUGCUGUAAUAAAACAAGGUUUACUUUUAUAGCUUGUUGUGUAUAUGGAGACAACUUUUGUGCAUCCAAUAUAAUAUAUAUAAUAUUAUUAAGGUUGAAAGUUAUUAUAAAGUGUAACCAAAGUUUAAUAAACACAUUGGCCUACUGACCUUAUAAUGUUCAUGUUUCUGUACUCUGUUCCUCUCAUUUACCUUCUGAACUAACUCUACUGGGUUAUGAUCAGUUAAACACGCCCUUUAACACACACUGAAUCAAAGUGAAAGUGAAACUGACAGUCACUUUCAUGAUUUAACUUACAGCGAUCAAACAAUUCCUGUUUCUUCUCUGUUCAUGGUAAUUUUCUGCUAAAACAGAUUCAGAAUGAUCUAUCAGGUCCUCAUCAACUUUACUGACAGCAAGAAUAAAGUAUUAGAAGUGGCGGAUUCAUUAGAAGAGUUUAAUUAAACCACCAUCAGAGAACUGAAGGAGAAAUUCAGAGAGAAGAUUCCUGGAGCACCUGAUCUAGAUCUCUUACGGGUGAUUUUUGGAAGAGAUCCACUGGAAGACCAUCAAACACUUGAGUUUUAUAACAUUAAACAUUUAUCUCUUCUUCUCUUUCUGAUGAAAAUGCCCGGUGGAGGAGGAGGAACAGACCCUGAUGAAGGAUUUCCCAGAUCUGAUUCCAUGGAAAGAUUAUCUUACAACAUGUAGAUGUGUUAGACUCACAAGACAUUCAGUCAAAAUAGUUGAAUAUUUCACAUAUUGCUGGUCAUAAGAAACACUGUAUCAUCCACUUCUGUCACCAAUCUGGAUGGAUGAACAGAGUUACUGUAACUGAGGAGUGUAUAUAAUUUACUCUUAGUUUACCAUGAAAAAUGUCCUUUUCUGCUGAUGUGGCUUUAAAUAAUAAAUGAAUGAACUAAAUCAAUGAUCCAGACUGAUUGAAGCUCUUCUGCUGAAUAGCUUGUGUUCCAGCAGAAACUGAUUUUUACUGUUCAGGUGUUUCUGUGAAGUUUGAGGAUCCAAACUUUUUUUUAUAGAUUUUUAUAAUUACCUUAUUAAAUGUAUCAGUGUUAUCUUUUCAAAGCUUUGAAAAUGAAAAUAUGAAAUGAUACUCUAAUUAUGAAACGGGAAGCAAGUCUUAAUGAGUGAGUCAUUGAUUCAAACGAUUCGUUCGAACGGCUGAUUGACUCCAGAACGAGUCAUGAUUGAUUAUGAGACACAGCUGAUCCGAAUUGAGCGUUUCUCUUUAUUCAGUGAGGUUUGAUCUCCUUAUAUAAGAAGAUCUGGAGGUGUUCCAGCUGGAGAUGUGCAUAUGUGUGAUUAUCAUUUGAAGAGCUGGAGAAGCGAUUCACAGUAUGGGCCAGAAUUGGCCAGGAGCUGUUCCCGGAGGGUUCCGGAUGGAGUAAGAAGGCGGCGAGGAGCUGAAGAGAGGGCCGCUGCUGGAGAAGAGAUCAAGCCGAGGAUGGCCAGCGUUCAUGGAGAGGAGCUAGUGGAGCAAACGGGCCGCCCCAAUGCUCAGAGGUUUAGCUAUCGAGUGAAGAUGGGGGGCGCACCUUCCUCCCCAUGAGCACCUCCAGCAAAAGGCAGGCCAGAGAGGAGCAAGAGUAGCAGUGGCUGUCCUGGUGGGCGAGGCUGAGAGGAAGGCAAGAACACCACCCCCUCAGCCAUUCACCAGCUCCUCGCUGCCUUCAGCGUCCACCAGAAGUUGAUGGAAAUAAAGGGACAUGUCCUCCUCCUUCACCACCUUUCUUUUUUUUUCUUUUUAAACAUUGUUUGUAUAACUAUAUUAAGUGGGCUUCACAUUUUUAACUAUAAGAAAAUUACUUUUAUCCAUUUGUAUUUUUUUUUUUUUACCUCUUUUAUUGAAGAUUUUGUCAGUUUUAGAAUUUUUUUUUAUUUUAUUUUUUUUUAUUCACUUUCAGAUUCACCUUUUUAAACCAUCUGUUUUUAUAACAUUUAUAUUAUGUGGGUUUCACAUUUUUAACUAUUUAAGAAAAUGACUUAUCCAUUUGUAUUUAUUGACUUUUACCUAGUUAUUGAAGAUUUUGUAUUUAUGCCGGUUUUAGAGUGUGU
This is a long non-coding RNA of Megalobrama amblycephala (Wuchang bream), 2791 nucleotides long. RefSeq lists it as uncharacterized. Lineage: Eukaryota; Metazoa; Chordata; Actinopteri; Cypriniformes; Xenocyprididae. The record is from RefSeq and is a predicted model, not a curated record. The transcript is spliced from 7 exons.